This 308-nucleotide long non-coding RNA is filed under the name Polistes fuscatus (common paper wasp). Its description in RNAcentral is "uncharacterized LOC122515721". Lineage: Eukaryota; Metazoa; Arthropoda; Insecta; Hymenoptera; Vespidae. The record is from RNAcentral.
UAUAAAUUCCAAUUAUCGGGCCAUUAACAUCGUAACGCGAUUAUUUCGCUCGACGUUACAGCAUUUCGUUCGGAAUACCGAAUCGGUGAUAAAGUGAUACGAUAAAUCGGCCCCUGAUUGCACUCCACUUGCAUUCGACCUACACUAGAAACUAUCGUCACCACCAAUCACAUAUGCAACGUUUUAUCGAAAAUAGAGCUUUGAUCCUUUAUUACAUUUUUACAAGCGAUUACAUUGGCCGGCCGGCCGGCCGGCCUCUGGCGAUUCUCGAAGAUGAGAAAGAAGAAGAAGAAGAAUUAGUAACAGAA